GCCCUGCGCUGGGCCACCGAGGGCUCGGCCCGCUGCCUCGGGCGCGACGACAUCGGCCGGAUCGCGCCGGGCCGCGAGGCG
Molecule: transfer RNA, 81 nt
Filed under: Methylobacterium cerastii
Lineage: Bacteria; Pseudomonadati; Pseudomonadota; Alphaproteobacteria; Hyphomicrobiales; Methylobacteriaceae
Description: tRNA-Pro
Source: RNAcentral